AUACGUAGGGGGCGAGCGUUGUCCGGAAUGAUUGGGCGUAAAGGGCGCGUAGGCGGCCCGGUAAGUCUGGAGUGAAAGUCCUGUUUUUAAGAUGGGAAUUGCUUUGGAUACUGUCGGGCUUGAGUGCAGGAGAGGUAAGUGGAAUUCCCAGUGUAGCGGUGAAAUGCGUAGAGAUUGGGAGGAACACCAGUGGCGAAGGCGACUUACUGGACUGUAACUGACGCUGAGGCGCGAAAGUGUGGGGAGCAAACAGGAUUAGAAACCCUGGUAGUCCACACUGUAAACGAUGAAUGCUAGGUGUAGGGGGUAUCGACCCCUUCUGUGCCGCAGUCAACACAAUAAGCAUUCCGCCUGGGGAGUACGGCCGCAAGGUUGAAACUCAAAGGAAUUGACGGGG
This 397-nucleotide ribosomal RNA is filed under the name uncultured bacterium. RNAcentral's name for it is "partial 16S ribosomal RNA". It matches the Rfam family "Bacterial small subunit ribosomal RNA", at positions 523 to 918 of the family's 1533-position model. The record is from RNAcentral.